ACUCCUGCGGGAGGCAGCAGUGGGGAAUUUUGGACAAUGGGCGAAAGCCUGAUCCAGCAAUGCCGCGUGAGUGAAGAAGGCCUUCGGGUUGUAAAGCUCUUUUGUCAGGGAAGAAACGGUGAGAGCUAAUAUCUUUUGCUAAUGACGGUACCUGAAGAAUAAGCACCGGCUAACUACGUGCCAGCAGCCGCGGUAAUACGUAGGGUGCAAGCGUUAAUCGGAAUUACUGGGCGUAAAGCGUGCGCAGGCGGUUUUGUAAGUCUGAUGUGAAAUCCCCGGGCUCAACCUGGGAAUUGCAUUGGAGACUGCAAGGCUAGAAUCUGGCAGAGGGGGGUAGAAUUCCACGUGUAGCAGUGAAAUGCGUAGAUAUGUGGAGGAACACCGAUGGCGAAGGCAGCCCCCUGGGUCAAGAUUGACGCUCAUGCACGAAAGCGUGGGGAGCAAACAGGAUUAGAAACCCGAGUAGUCCCAUGAU
This 475-nucleotide ribosomal RNA is filed under the name uncultured organism. RNAcentral's name for it is "partial 16S ribosomal RNA". It matches the Rfam family "Bacterial small subunit ribosomal RNA", at positions 335 to 801 of the family's 1533-position model. The record is from RNAcentral.